This 550-nucleotide unclassified non-coding RNA is filed under the name Hevea brasiliensis (rubber tree). The record is from RNAcentral. Lineage: Eukaryota; Viridiplantae; Streptophyta; Magnoliopsida; Malpighiales; Euphorbiaceae.
UUUUUCUUUUAUUGCUUUGAGAAAAAAUACGAGUUACUCAUCUGCUGCCGUUGAGUUAAUGUACUUAUGUCUUUAAUGUCUGUUCCUUUGUUUAUUUUUGUGCCUUUUAGAUUCAUUUGUGUUAUUUGCAACUCGGUAAUCUAUAAACCCAUUUGCUAAUUUGAAACUUUGAUUUUUGAACUCUGUUCACAGAGCAAUAUUCUUUUGUGUUGAAUUUCUGUACUCCUGGUUUUCUCUUCCGAUUGCGCUUUGUGAUCUGUCUUGUAUAAAGAGUCUUUUCCUUUGAUUUUUCUUCACAUUGAAUACUUUUAUUCCAUCUAUUUAGUCCUGAGAAAAUGAGAGAAAAAGAUCAAAUCUUGCAGAGUCUUAGAUUUUUCACUGAAGGAAUUCUCAACUUUUUCUGAAUUUGACAUAUCUGUUGUUAAAGAGGUAAUCUUUAGGUGUAGAAUUGGACAUAUUUGACAACACGAGUUUAAUCAUGAAAAAAUUCCCACUUUAGUAACCUAAAUGUAGAUACUACAUUUUAAUUCAAUAACCAAUUGGGAAAUUU